This 425-nucleotide ribosomal RNA is filed under the name uncultured bacterium. RNAcentral's name for it is "bacterial SSU rRNA". It matches the Rfam family "Bacterial small subunit ribosomal RNA", at positions 355 to 776 of the family's 1533-position model. The record is from RNAcentral.
UGAGGAAUCUUGCGCAAUGGAGGAAACUCUGACGCAGCCACGCCGCGUGAAGGAUGAAGGCCCUAUGGGUUGUAAACUUCUUUUGUCAGGGAAGAAGAGCGGGGUUUCGACCCCGAAGUGACGGUACCUGAUGAAUAAGCACCGGCUAACUCCGUGCCAGCAGCCGCGGUAAUACGGAGGGUGCAAGCGUUGUCCGGAAUCAUUGGGUGUAAAGGGUGCGUAGGCGGGCCUGUAAGUCUGGGGUGAAAUCUUGCCGCUUAACGGUAAAAUUGCCUUGGAUACUGCAGGUCUUGAGUGUGAGAGAGGUCGGUGGAAUUCGUGGUGUAGCGGUGAAAUGCUUAGAUAUCACGAAGAACACCUGUGGUGAAGACGGCCGGCUGGAUCACAACUGACGCUGAGGCACGAGAGCGUGGGGAGCAAACAGG